Cercocebus atys (sooty mangabey) is the source of this 136-nucleotide small nucleolar RNA. The record is from Ensembl. NCBI's taxonomy places the organism in Eukaryota, Metazoa, Chordata, Mammalia, Primates, Cercopithecidae.
AAGCAUAUCUAUUUGACAGACCUGGAGCAGUUACUGUCUGCUGCUAAGGUUUCCACUACAGAUGCAAGAAAAAAGUGUCCUCAUACUUUCUGUCUGUCUCACUGUGGCAGCCAACAUUGAACAGAGGAUAAUAGAG